UCCACGCAGUAAACGAUGAAUGUUAGUCGUCGGGGGCCUCGUGUCUUCGGUGAUGCAGCUAACGCAUUAAACAUUCCGCCUGGGGAGUACGGUCGCAAGAUUAAAACUCAAAGGAAUAGACGGGGACCCGCACAAGUGGUGGAGCAUGUGGUUUAAUUCGAAGAUACGCGAAGAACCUUACCUAGCCUUGACAUUGAUUGAAUACUUUAGAGAUAGAGUAGUGCCCUUCGGGG
This 233-nucleotide ribosomal RNA is filed under the name uncultured bacterium. RNAcentral describes it as "partial 16S ribosomal RNA". It matches the Rfam family "Bacterial small subunit ribosomal RNA", at positions 794 to 1025 of the family's 1533-position model. The record is from RNAcentral.